This 1789-nucleotide long non-coding RNA is filed under the name Callithrix jacchus (white-tufted-ear marmoset). RNAcentral's name for it is "lncRNA (ENSCJAG00000071298.1)". Lineage: Eukaryota; Metazoa; Chordata; Mammalia; Primates; Cebidae. The record is from RNAcentral.
AUGCCUAUUGUAAUACUUUGCCCUUUUAGGAGCGUCAGCAGCAUCUUCAAAAAGAAGGCCAGGCUUUGGGACAUAUAUCCCCUUGCAGUUCUGUGUCAGUGCAGGUUCCUCAGAUUCUCUGGGACUGUUUUUCUCAGUCAAACGCAUCAUUGUACUUUGUUCUUGGUAGACCUUCCUGCUUCCCAUCUGACAAAAUCUCUGAGUACUUGCUUGUUUGCAAAGGAUUUUAUUUUUCCUUCACUUAUGAAGCUUAGUUUGGCUGGAUAUGAAAUUCUGGGUUGAAAAUUCUUUUCUUUAAGGAUGUUGAAUAUUGGCCCCUACUCUCUUCUGGCUUGUAGAGCUUCUGCUGAGAGAUCUGCUGUGAGUCUGAUGGGCCUCCCUUUGUGGGUAACCCAAUCUUUCUCUCUGACUGCCGUUAGCAUUUUCUCCCUCAUUUCAACCCUGGUGAAUCUGAUGAUUAUGUGCCUUGGGGUUGCUCUUCUUGACAGAUAUUGAUGUGGUGUUCUCCGUAUUUCAUGGAUUUGAAUAUUGGCUUGCCUUGCUAGGUUGGGGAAGUUUUCCUGGAUAAUGUCCUGAAUAGUAUUUUCCAGCUUGGAUUCAUUCUCUCUGUCACAUUCGGGUACACCUAUGAAAUAUAGAUUAGGUCUUUUCACAUAGUCACAUAUUUCUUGGAGACUUUGUUUAUUCCUUUUUACCCUUUUUUCUCUAAUCUUGCCUUCUUGUUUUAUUUCAUUGGGUUGAUCUUCGACCUCUGAUAUCCUUUUUUCUCCUUGGUCAAUUAGGCUGUUGAAAUUUGUGUAUGGUUUGCGAAGUUCUCGUGUUGUGUUUUUCAGCUCCAUCAAUUCACUUAUAUUCCUCUCUAAGUUGUUGAUUCUUGUUAGCAUUUCAUCAAAUAUUUUCUCAACAUUCUUAGUUUCUUUGCAUUGGGUUAGAACAUGUUCUUUUAGCUCACGGAAGUUUCUCAUUACCCACCUUCUGAAGCCUGAUUCUGUCAAUUCAUCACACUCAUUGUCUAUCCAACCUUGUUCUCUUGCUGAUGAGGAGUAGUGAUCCCUUGUAGGAGGAGAGGCAUUCUGCUUUCAGGUGUUUUCAUCCUUUUUGUGCUGAUUUCUUCCCAUCUUUGUGUAUUCAUCCACCUGUCAUCUUUGUAGUAGUUGACUUUCAGAUUGGGUCUCUGAGUGGAUGUCCAGUUUGUUGAUGAUGAAGUUAUUUCUUUCUGUUUCUUAGAGUUUUCCUUCUAACAGUCUGGCCUCUCUGCUGUAGGACUGCUGAGGUCCACUCCAUGCCCUGCUUGCCUGGGGAUCAUGUGCAGUGGCUGUAGAACAGUAAGGGUUGCUGCCAGUUUCUUCUUCUGCUAUCUUUGUCCCAGAAGGAUACCCACCAGAUGUCAGUCUGAGCUCUCCUUUAUGAGGUGACUCUUUGGAUAUAUGGGGGUCAGGGAGCUGCUUGAUGAGACAGUCUCUCCUUUAUAGGAGCUCAAGUGCUGAGCUGUGAGCUCCAUUGUUCAUUCAGAGCCGUGGGGCAGGUAUAUUCAAGUUUGCUGUAGCAGAACUCAUAACCCCACCCACCCUUUUUUUCCCCCAGGUGCUCUGUCCCAGGGUUUUAGGGCUUUAUUUAUGAGUUUCUGUUGAGCUGCUACCUUUUUUCAGGGCUGCCCUGCCUAGCAAAGAGGCAGCCUAGUCACUAUCUGCCUGCAGAGGCUUUGCUGAGCUGGGGUGGGCUCUGCCCAGCUGCCAUGUGAACUUCCCUGCAGUCCUGUUUAUACGCAUGUAGUUAGAACUGCCUUGGC